This 66-nucleotide transfer RNA is filed under the name Rapisma xizangense. RNAcentral's name for it is "tRNA-Ser". The record is from RNAcentral. RNAcentral also lists the same sequence under 2 other names. Lineage: Eukaryota; Metazoa; Arthropoda; Insecta; Neuroptera; Rapismatidae.
GAAAUAUGUUAUCAAGAAAAAGCUUCUAACUUUUUUCUUUAGUGGUUUAUUCCCAUUAAUAUUUCU